UACAGAGGGUGCAAGCGUUAAUCGGAAUUACUGGGCGUAAAGCGCGCGUAGGCGGUCUUGUAUGUCGAUUGUGAAAUCCCCGGGCUCAACCCGGGAACUGCAGUCGAAACUGCAAGACUUGAAUGUUGGAGAGGUUGGGGGAAUACCUAGUGGAGAAGUGAAAUUCGUAGAGAAUUAGGUGGAACACCAGAGGCGAAGGCGCCUGACUGGCCAAACAUUGACGCUAAGGCGCGAAAGCGUGGGUAGCAAACAGGA
Molecule: ribosomal RNA, 255 nt
Filed under: uncultured bacterium
Lineage: Bacteria
Description: partial 16S ribosomal RNA
Rfam family: Bacterial small subunit ribosomal RNA
Source: RNAcentral